AAGAGACAUGAUUAACGUAACAUAGUAAUACAAUUGGUAUGAAAGAAGUAAGAUAAAUUUAUUACAACACAAAACCCCAAAAACUCCAUAAUUGUGAUAACUACACACUUAUAUAAACACAAAACAACUAAAUAAUUCCAAGUCAUUACAAUUAAGCCAGUAUCCAUGGCCAGAAGCAACAAUAAGGUGCAUUCAUUUUUGACAAGACUCAUAGGCUGUAGCAUUAACGCUUCCACAUCAAUAACGAACAUAAUCUUUAACUGCACCAACAUCAAACAGAAAAAUAAUUACAUAUAGUUAAUAGAACCAUAUGAAUGGAAUUCAGUGUAGCGUAUUGUAUUCUCAAGCAGAACCAAAAAUAUUUUGAAACUAAAUCAAUCAUGUCAUUUAAGAACUGUGAUGCCAAAUAAACUAACCCUAAAGAGAAGAGGGUUCAAAGAAAAAAAUAUAUAGGAGGAUUUCAUGAAUUUAAUCUAUUUAACUAUGAGAAUCAAACGGACUAAUAUUUAAUUAUCUCUAGAAAAGACAUAGAAGUAACCCUAAUUCAUUUUUCAAGUGAAAACAAGAUAAAUUCAAUUGAGUGAGAGUUUUAAGUAAGUCUGUUUAAGUUUUCAAUUAAAAAAAGUACAAAAUUUAUAGUUUUAACAAUAAACCAAGUUUCAACUUCUCGGAAGAAAAGAAGAAGAAGAAGAAAGUUAUCACCUUUAAUGGAAAAUGGAAUAAACCAAUUAGCCUUCACAAAAUUUUUUUUACCCUAGCUCACGGAAAACGACAAAGUUACCUUUGGUCAUCAAAGGUACCCUGUCCGUUGUUUCCUCCAUUAGCAUGGUGAUUGUCCUCAACAACCCGCCAAAUAGGCCGCCACCCCUCCGGCAGUGGUGGUGGCGGAUCCUGCAACGACGGUGGUGGAGCUUGCCUUGGAUGAGGCUAGACGUAUGAUGAGGAAUAAACCACAUGGUCAGUUGUCCUUCCCAUCCACCCGCCGCUGCAUUCGCUUCCGUUUCAUUCCCGCCUGAUUGUUGAGAGUUUUCCAUGGUGAUUUUGUAGAAGGGGAUGAUAUUUUCUAAAUUAACACAUACACACAGGAAGUUGAUGAAGAAUAUAAGAGAAAUGUAACCUAGUUUUUAUUACAAAGAAAAAGGGAGUGGGGUCCAGAAGAGGCCGACUUGAGUGUAUUAUUUUAUCGAAAAGAACCAUAUGAAAUGAGAUGAUGUCACA
This 1218-nucleotide long non-coding RNA is filed under the name Capsicum annuum. RNAcentral describes it as "long non-coding RNA (CANN_LNC004225)". Lineage: Eukaryota; Viridiplantae; Streptophyta; Magnoliopsida; Solanales; Solanaceae. The record is from RNAcentral.